GAUGAACGCUGGCGGCGUGCCUAAUACAUGCAAGUCGAGCGAACAGACGAGGAGCUUGCUCCUCUGACGUUAGCGGCGGACGGGUGAGUAACACGUGGAUAACCUGCCUAUAAGACUGGGAUAACUUCGGGAAACCGGAGAUAAUACCGGAUAAUAUAUUGAACCGCAUGGUUCAAUAGUGAAAGACGGUUUUGCUGUCACUUAUAGAUGGAUCCGCGCCGCAUUAGCUAGUUGGUAAGGUAACGGCUUACCAAGGCAACGAUGCGUAGCCGACCUGAGAGGGUGAUCGGCCACACUGGAACUGAGACACGGUCCAGACUCCUACGGGAGGCAGCAGUAGGGAAUCUUCCGCAAUGGGCGAAAGCCUGACGGAGCAACGCCGCGUGAGUGAUGAAGGUCUUCGGAUCGUAAAACUCUGUUAUUAGGGAAGAACAAAUGUGUAAUUAACUAUGCACGUCUUGACGGUACCUAAACAGAAAGCCCCGGCUAACUACGUG
This 497-nucleotide ribosomal RNA is filed under the name uncultured bacterium. Its description in RNAcentral is "partial 16S ribosomal RNA". It matches the Rfam family "Bacterial small subunit ribosomal RNA", at positions 28 to 507 of the family's 1533-position model. The record is from RNAcentral.